Long non-coding RNA from Planococcus citri (citrus mealybug), 2000 nucleotides. RefSeq lists it as uncharacterized. Lineage: Eukaryota; Metazoa; Arthropoda; Insecta; Hemiptera; Pseudococcidae. The record is from RefSeq and is a predicted model, not a curated record. The transcript is spliced from 2 exons.
UUCACUAGACUGCAGAAUUUUUAUUUGUGAUAAGGAAAUGCUUGUGAACACCUGACCAAUAAUCAUUUUACUUAGUAGGUUCUCUAUUUUUUGAAUGAGUGCCUGUACUUACACUACUCAUGAAAAAUACCACCAAAAUCUAAUUAAUAAAAAAUCCACUUCCCCAGUAGAGAAGAUUGAUUAAUUUUUUGACUUUUCAAAGGAUGUACGACGUGAUAGACGCGAUCCGUUUCGUCACAGAAAAACAGAGUAGCCUCGCUGCGAUUGGCUCUUUUUGGUAGGUAUUGAAAUAGGUGCUAUUUUUUUUUUUUUUUUUAAUAAUCUCAUGGUUCAUAUCAUUUGAUUUUGAAUUUGUCAGUAUUUUUGAAAAGAUCUAAAAUUCAGAUAUUUUUCAACUUAAAUUUUCAACAACGACGAUUCAAAUUUAAUUAAUUGAAAAAAUAAAUGGUGCUACAACUAGUGUUGGGCAAAUUCGCGAAUAUUCUUUUUUUGCUUGCGCAUGCGCAAGAAUAUGCGCAUAUUCUUGCGCAUAUUCCGCAGAUUCUUUUCAAAAAAUUAGAACAUUAUUGCUUAGUUUAGAGAUAAUCGGAAACUUUCCAAAUUUCCAUUGAAAAGGAUUCAAAUUAUUAAGGAAAAUUGGAAAUUUAUAAAGAAAAGUAGAUGUAAAACUUGUAAAUUGUGGAAAAUUGUAGAAAAAACUUCAAAUUUUUUGAAAAAAGUCAUGAUUUUUAUUUUUUUGAGAGAAUAUUCUCCAGGCAUUUGAGAAUAUUCGCGAAUAUUCGCGAAUAUUCUCAGAUUAUGCGCAUUGAGAAUAUUCUCAGGCCAACACUAGCUACAACGUAUUUUUUUUUAGUAAAAAAUGAGAAAAAAAUGAAAAAUUGAUUAGCUGAGUGUGUUUUAGUGCUUGAUGCCCUUGACUAGCAGAGAAAAAUCUGGCCAAUGGCCAUCCAGUGUUAUGCUUUAUCAAUUUUCACUAUUUCUACAUUAUGAUGUGAUGGAGUUUCAAUUUUCUAUAUUUUCAGCAAUUUUUAAUUCGGAUUCUUGAUAAUUAAUGAAUCUGUUUCAAGCAAUUGGUUGCUAUUAUUAUAACCUGUGUAGUGUGUACUUUAUGGGAUGUUAUUUCUCAUUCAUUGUUGGUGAUGAUUGUGAUGAAUAUUGAAUAAUAAUAAUACUGUUGAUUUCGAUCAUAGACAAUUUUUACUUUUUGAGUGCUUUGCUUUUCAAUUUGAAUAAAUUGAAAAAAAACUGAUACCUGUGUAUAUUGUACUGUACAAGUGUACAUAAAUAAUACAGUUGAUUGAUAGCAGACUGAUUCUCAUAUUUUUAAAUUUUCAACAAUUGUGUACUCAAUGGGAUGUAAUUUGUGUUUUAUUGUGCUGUGAUAAACUGCUUCUUGAGUGACUUUCCUUUUUGAAUUUAUUUUCAAAAGAAAAAAAAAGUGAUACUUGAACUUUUAAGCACUUAUUUACACUUCCUAAUGUGAAUAUUAAAUAAAGUUGGUUGGUUCCAGUUGUUCAUUUCAUUUACCUGUAACCUGUGUAUAUUGUACUGCUGUGCAUAAUAAAUAAUACAGCAGUUGAUUGAUAGCAGACUGAUUAUCAUUUUGAACUUUUUCAACAAUCUUUGAAUUUCUUAGAUUCAAGCACUCAGCACUGAUUAUUAUCAACAGCAGGCUACAGAUUUUGUAUUGAUCUGUCAGGUCUAUUCUACAGAAGGUCGUGUGGGUCGUGUGAAUACAUAAUAUUUGCACGUAAAAAUUUUUUCGAGUGGCCGUGUUUUUAAACACGUAAAUUAUUUUCUUGAAUAAAUGGUCGUGUAGAUUUUUUUGCACGUAAAACUCUACUGGUCGUGCAUUGCACGUUAAAACAUUUUUCAUAUCUUUUGAAUUAAAUUCAGCGUACAUUGGUCGUGUAUUAUCAUACACGUAAAAUAGAAUUUGAUUUAUUUAUUACAGUUUUGGUAAUACGUUUAGUCAUUUGAAUAAAUAAAUUUGAAGUGAA